This 199-nucleotide non-coding RNA is filed under the name Methylobacterium nodulans. The record is from RNAcentral. Lineage: Bacteria; Pseudomonadati; Pseudomonadota; Alphaproteobacteria; Hyphomicrobiales; Methylobacteriaceae. RNAcentral also lists the same sequence under 1 other name.
GCUACGGUCUCCCGCGACGGUGCCUCGGCAACGAGGUGAAAAGGGAACGCGGGACGGGGCUGAUCCCCGAAAGCCGCGGCUGCCCCCGCAACUGUGAGCGGCGCGGGCCCGCCAUCGGCCACUGGAGCGAUCCGGGAAGGCGGCGGGCACCUCUCGCAAUGCCGCGAGCCAGGAGACCUGCCGUCACCCGCUUCCUCUC